Molecule: long non-coding RNA, 220 nt
Filed under: Carica papaya (papaya)
Lineage: Eukaryota; Viridiplantae; Streptophyta; Magnoliopsida; Brassicales; Caricaceae
Description: long non-coding RNA (CPAP_LNC003201)
Source: RNAcentral
AACAUGGACAAACUUUGUAGUUUCAGAUUUGCAUGACACACCAUGCCAACUUGUCACCCACUUGACUUUUAACAUCAAUUUCCCUCUCUCUCUCUCUCUCUGUACUUUUUUCUUGAGGAGAAAAAAAAAAGCGACAAGAAGCCAAAACUUGGGUAAAGACAAUUAAGGGUAAAUAGUAAAUCUCCAUGGUUGUGAGCAUAUACAAAUUACUGUCACUUAU